RNAcentral lists this ribosomal RNA (429 nucleotides) under Verrucomicrobiota bacterium. RNAcentral describes it as "Verrucomicrobia bacterium partial 16S ribosomal RNA". It matches the Rfam family "Bacterial small subunit ribosomal RNA", at positions 355 to 776 of the family's 1533-position model. The record is from RNAcentral. Lineage: Bacteria; Pseudomonadati; Verrucomicrobiota.
UAGGGAAUCUUCCGCAAUGGACGAAAGUCUGACGGAGCAACGCCGCGUGAGUGAAGAAGGAUUUCGGUUCGUAAAACUCUGUUGUUAGGGAAGAAAAAAUGUAUAGUAACUAUAUACAAAAGAGACGGUACCUAACCAGAAAGCCACGGCUAACUACGUGCCAGCAGCCGCGGUAAUACGUAGGUGGCAAGCGUUGUCCGGAAUUAUUGGGCGUAAAGCGCGCGCAGGUGGUUUAGAAAGUCUGAUGUGAAAGCCCACGGCUCAACCGUGGGGGGUCAUUGGAAACUAAUAAACUUGAGUGCAGGAGAGUAAAGUGGAAUUCCUAGUGUAGCGGUGAAAUGCGUAGAGAUUAGGAGGAACACCGGUGGCGAAAGCGGCUUUUUGGCCUGCAACUGACACUGAGGCGCGAAAGCGUGGGGAGCAAACAGG